CCACCAUCACGCUGCUUCAUGUUAAAUAGAAAUCGCUAGUGUAUAAAAGGCAGUACUAGUGCUUCAAUCUGGCAUAACUCAAGUUUUGUGAAAAUCUAAUCUUUACCUUCACUUCGUUUCACGAAAACAAAUAAAAAAACCAAAAAUGGGCGCUGAAAAAGUAACAAUGAACAUCGUUGUCGUCGGACAAGUCCAAUCUGCCAAGGCCAUCAAAUCGGUCGCCAAAGCCACCGCAGCCAUCAACCAAUUGAUGAACUGUUAAUUCUAAAAGCCUACAUCAAUAUUAAACUCAAAAAUGACAUAGCCCAAACAGUUCAGAGUUCUAUAACAAGUUAUAAAAUUGUGUAUUGACAUUAAAAAAUAAAUCAGUCUCUUCUGUCAAUUAA
This is a long non-coding RNA of Rhopalosiphum maidis (corn leaf aphid), 386 nucleotides long. RefSeq lists it as uncharacterized. Lineage: Eukaryota; Metazoa; Arthropoda; Insecta; Hemiptera; Aphididae. The record is from RefSeq and is a predicted model, not a curated record. The transcript has 3 exons.